UACGUAGGGUGCGAGCGUUAAUCGGGAUUACUGGGCGUAAAGCGUGCGCAGGCGGUUCGUUGUGUCGGCGGUGAAAGCCCCGGGCUUAACCUGGGAAUGGCCGUCGAAACUGGCGAACUGGAGUGUGGCAGAGGGGGGUGGAAUUCCGCGUGUAGCAGUGAAAUGCGUAGAGAUGCGGAGGAACACCGAUGGCGAAGGCAGCCCCCUGGGCCGACACUGACGCUCAGGCACGAAAGCGUGGGGAGCAAACAGG
RNAcentral lists this ribosomal RNA (253 nucleotides) under uncultured bacterium. Its description in RNAcentral is "partial 16S ribosomal RNA". It matches the Rfam family "Bacterial small subunit ribosomal RNA", at positions 524 to 776 of the family's 1533-position model. The record is from RNAcentral.